Molecule: long non-coding RNA, 608 nt
Organism: Corticium candelabrum
Lineage: Eukaryota; Metazoa; Porifera; Homoscleromorpha; Homosclerophorida; Plakinidae
Exons: 4
Source: RefSeq, a predicted model, not a curated record
UCUGAGGAAAAAGUUUUCAAUUUCUUUGCUUUGUGUCGCUUAAAACAAUUAAACAUUGACGCGAACUCUUUUUGGCCGUGGCCUGUCAUAAAAGAAGCAGACAUGUCACGUUCUGGUCUGUGUGUAAUGAUGCAGUCAAAUUAUGUAAUUACGAUAUGCUGUCAAGAUUAAAAAUAAGUGCUUUGGAGACUACACAGGAUUUUGCUAAUCUAUGUAGGGUACGAGAACCAUUUGGAUGCCUACUGAGCGCAUUGUUUGAUGGCAUUGAAGAUCGACCUAGGCGCAUCUGGUGUCAAGUAUGAAGAAGUUGGCUAUCAAAUAAAGCAGAGCUGAGGGAAAAUGUCAAAGAGUAUCAGGAAACAUGUUUUAGGUCGCGUGGCAUUCCAUGCAAGAUGACUUCAUCCAGCAAUACAAGCACUUUGAGAACUGAUUAACAAAUGCUAUCCGGGUUUGGGUAUUGCAAUUGAGUUUCUCUUGCUGAAUUACUUUCAUACUUUUUGAUGAUUGCUCAACAACACUAAGUAGAAUGGGUGUAUUUCAAUCCAUUUAUGACAUACUUGAAGGUGAAUGGGUAUGUAGUCAGGAUUGUUGAUUUUUAGAGCCGUUCU